Molecule: unclassified non-coding RNA, 513 nt
Filed under: Hevea brasiliensis (rubber tree)
Lineage: Eukaryota; Viridiplantae; Streptophyta; Magnoliopsida; Malpighiales; Euphorbiaceae
Source: RNAcentral
CUAGAUCCCAAUACAUCUUCCGGUCACAAUUUCAAGAAAAGAAAACCGAGACACACAGUUAAAUAUGGAGAAACACAGUAGAAAGCUGAGCAUUAUAUCCAGUAUUCUACUAGUAGCCGAAUCUGGAACUAAGCAUUUAUUAAACAAAAAUUGCUUCAAGAACAAAAUUCACACGGAUCUAGAAGCAUAACAGUGUUUGAAAUUUAGAUGCAAAGACAGUGACCUCAUUCUUUCUUUCCAAUCCCGUGCGACAUGUUAUAAAUUCCUCGUCCGAUAAGAUACAGUGAUGAAGCUGCAAGAGCAAUUGGAAUGGCAACGGAGGUGACUUUGUCCAUUGGCCCUUUAAGAUAAGUGUGCUUGUGGAUGCUCUGGAAAUAUUUUUGCUUCUCAAUAAGUUUCUCGCGGGGUCUAAAAGGUUGUUCUACUUCUGUCAUCGUAAGGAUGGAGGGGAGAGCGGUAAAUCGUUGCUUUGAGAGCUGCAGCCGAUGGGGGACGGAAAAAUGGAGGACUUGG